Molecule: ribosomal RNA, 462 nt
Filed under: uncultured bacterium
Lineage: Bacteria
Description: bacterial SSU rRNA
Rfam family: Bacterial small subunit ribosomal RNA
Source: RNAcentral
ACGAACGCUGGCGGCGCGCCUAACACAUGCAAGUCGAGGGACGAAGCGGGGGCUUGCCCCCGUGGAAACCGGCGAACGGGUGAGUUACACGUGAGGAACCUGCCCCGAAGACUGGAAUAACGCCGGGAAACCGGUGCUAAUGCCGGAUGUCCUCCUUUCACCACAUGGUGAGUUGAGGAAAUGGUCCGCCGCUUCGGGAUGGCCUCGCGGCCUAUCAGCUUGUUGGUGGGGUAACGGCCCACCAAGGCUACGACGGGUAGCUGGUCUGAGAGGACGAUCAGCCACACUGGGACUGAGACACGGCCCAGACUCCUACGGGAGGCAGCAGUGGGGAAUCUUGCGCAAUGGGCGAAAGCCUGACGCAGCGACGCCGCGUGCGGGAAGACGGCCCUCGGGUUGUAAACCGCUUUCAGAGGGGACGACAUUGACGGUACCCACAGAAGAAGCCCCGGCCAACUAUGU